Canis lupus familiaris (dog) is the source of this 1484-nucleotide long non-coding RNA. RefSeq lists it as uncharacterized. NCBI's taxonomy places the organism in Eukaryota, Metazoa, Chordata, Mammalia, Carnivora, Canidae. The transcript is spliced from 3 exons. The record is from RefSeq and is a predicted model, not a curated record.
AAUUUUCUAUGACAUCACACUAGGGAGAUUCUCUUAAAAGUAUACACUGCAUAGUGACCUUAAAAUAGCAGCCUAAAGCAGCUGACCAGAAUAAUUCACUGGUAACCAGCCCAACAGCUGUCUGGGGUUCUAGAUUUACAAGAGCCCUACACUAUUUGUGGAAAGAAGGGAGGAGAUAGCGCGGGCUGCCUCAACCAGUAUUUCCAAGUCAAAUAUGACCACCAGCUCAGCAGCGCCACCUUCAGGGAUGCCCUGAGAAGUGCAUAUCUGAGAGCCGGAAAGAGACUGUGUUUACAUCCCAAACACCCAUAUGAUGCCAGAAAUGUUAUCCUCGAGUAAAAGGAUUCCAAGAUGGUCACAGAUAUUUGAUGAAUCCUGAGGCUCACAAGAUAAUGGCAGAAAGUCAGCCCCAAUUUCCCCAAAAGACCAAAGGUUUGAAUGAUGCUUCACUUCCUCUUCAAAUUUACGGGCUCUGAAGUUCAUGUUUCCCACGGACCAGCUGCUCAACUACCCUAACUCACUCUGACCCUAAGCCUGUGUUUUUAAGAUAAGGAUCCAUCAAGCAUCUUAUUAAUUUGCAAGAAAAUAAGAAGAGGAAUCUUCCCUCCAAUGAUAAAUAUUUUAUUUCACUAAUACCAAAGAGACAACCCACUGCACUGUUUCUAUCCUUUCUGCAAAUGUAGUAACUUUUCAAUCUAAUGCUGAAUGAUAGCAUCACCUUUAAAAGCAUUAAAAAUGGCAACUAGCUUAACUCACUGUAGUAUCAACAAUGUAUAUAUUGGUGAAGAGAAGAGAGUAUGAACAACCCUGAUCCAGUUUGUACCCACACAAACCAAGACUACUUAUAACUACCACCUUGCCAACAGCAUUUGUAAGAUGCCAUCAAUUGGAACAUGCAACCUAAUUUCAAAAACAUACGACUGCAGAAAACCAAUGUAUGCCUCAGUAUGGAUGCAGUAGUGUAGUGGCCCAUGGUCUUGUCUCUUUUACUCAAAUGUACUGUUACUUAAGUGCAAGAACUAGGAAAGCCUUUGUCCUAAGCUCAGGGUCAAGGUAAGGAUGUGUGGUGCAGAUGCAACCUUAAUGCUCUUCCAACAAUGUCGUUUUAGCUGGGCCACUUAUUUGUAACAUGCAUAUUUGAAAUCUUCUCUGGCUAUGCCCACCCAGGGCUUACCGGGAGUAACCUGGGAACACCCAUGUGCUUGUCAGCUAACACUAGCCCAAGAUGGUGGAGUGGUUAGUAAUGGUACAAAAAAGGCUUAUUUACUGUGUGAUUUCUUGAGAUUCUGGUAACUGUAAUUUGCGUUUUCAUACACUAUGACUGGCUUACUCCCUCACUCCCACUCUCCUAGCUGGCCUGCAUUUCAUUUCUCCUUUUUAUUCUGGGUGAUGGCUCAAAUCAAAUAGAAACGUAGUGUCCCUGGGGCACCUGAGUGGCUCAGUGGUUGACUGUCUGCCUUUGGCUCAGGGCAUGAUCCUCAGGU